AGAGAGAGACAUGCGCGCAUAUCAAUAAGCGGAGGAAAAGAAACUAACAAGGAUUCCCUUAGUAACGGCGAGUGAAGCGGGAAGAGCUCAAAUUUGAAAUCUUCAAGGUUUUACCUUGACGAAUUGUAGUUUAAAGAAGUGAUUUCUGCUGAAGUUUUGGUAAAAGUUCUUUGGAAUAGGACAUCAUAGAGGGUGAGAAUCCCGUAUUUGACCAUUAUUUUCAGCUUUGUGAUACACUUUCAAAGAGUCGGAUUGUUUGGGAAUGCAGUCCAAAAUGGGUGGUAAAUUUCAUCUAAAGCUAAAUAUUGGCGAGAGCCGAUAGCGAACAAGUACCGUGAGGGAAAGAUGAAAAGAACUUUGAAAAGAGAGUUAAACAGUACGUGAAAUUGUCAAAAGGGAAGCGUUUGACACCAGUGUUGUUCUCUCGAAAAUCAAUUAAAAAUGGCUCGAUUUUGUAUUGUUGAGACCUUAAAAGCUCACUGUACAUUUUUCGUGUCUUUUUUAAUGCACUUUUCGUUUAACAAGUCAACAUCAGUUUCUUUUGUUGUAAAAGGGUCAUUGAAGGUGGCUUUCUUUUCGGAGAAAGUGUUUAUAGCCUUUGGCCUCUGCAAUCGGAGAGACUGAGGUCUGCAGCGUAGACUCUUCGGGGUUAGAUACAUUUGUGCUAAGUUAUAGCUUUAUAUAGACAACUUGUUGACUAUAAUUAGUCUUGUAGCUUACUCGCUUAUGCUAUUUUACCUACGCUUAGGAUGUUGAAGAUGUAGCACAUCAU
RNAcentral lists this ribosomal RNA (772 nucleotides) under uncultured Neocallimastigales. RNAcentral's name for it is "partial large subunit ribosomal RNA". It matches the Rfam family "Eukaryotic large subunit ribosomal RNA", at positions 23 to 620 of the family's 3401-position model. Lineage: Eukaryota; Fungi; Neocallimastigomycota; Neocallimastigomycetes; Neocallimastigales. The record is from RNAcentral.